This 497-nucleotide ribosomal RNA is filed under the name uncultured bacterium. RNAcentral's name for it is "partial 16S ribosomal RNA". It matches the Rfam family "Bacterial small subunit ribosomal RNA", at positions 28 to 507 of the family's 1533-position model. The record is from RNAcentral.
GAUGAACGCUGGCGGCGUGCCUAAUACAUGCAAGUCGAGCGAACGGACGAGAAGCUUGCUUCUCUGAUGUUAGCGGCGGACGGGUGAGUAACACGUGGAUAACCUACCUAUAAGACUGGGAUAACUUCGGGAAACCGGAGCUAAUAACGGAUGAUAUUUUGAACCGCAUGGGUCAAAAGUGAAAGACGGUCUUGCUGUCACUUAUAGAUGGAUCCGCGCCGCAUUAGCUAGUUGGUAAGGUAACGGCUUACCAAGGCAACGAUGCAUAGCCGACCUGAGAGGGUGAUCCGCCACACUGGAACUGAGACACGGUCCAGACUCCUACGGGAGGCAGCAGUAGGGAAUCUUCCGCAAUGGGCGAAAGCCUGACGGAGCAACGCCGCGUUAGUGAUGAAGGUCUUCGGAUCGUAAAACUCUGUUAUUAUGGAAGAACAUAUGUGUAAGUAACUGUGCACAUCUUGACGGUACCUAAUCAGAAAGCCACGGCUAACUACGUG